GUGUCAGCCGCCGCGGUAAAACGUAGGAGACGAACGUUAUCCGGAGUUACUGGGCGUAAAGGGCGUGCAGGCGGCCUGAUAAGUCCGGCGUGAAAUCUUUCGGCUUAACCGGGGGAUGUCGUCGGAGACUGUCGGGCUAGAGGGUGAUAGAGGCGUGUGGAAUUCCGGGUGUAGUGGUGAAAUGCGUAGAGAUCCGGAGGAACACCAGUGGCGAAGGCGACACGCUGGGUCAUACCUGACGCUAAUACGCGACAGCAUGGGGAGCAAACGGGAUUAGAAACCCCGGUAGUCC
RNAcentral lists this ribosomal RNA (292 nucleotides) under uncultured bacterium. Its description in RNAcentral is "partial 16S ribosomal RNA". It matches the Rfam family "Bacterial small subunit ribosomal RNA", at positions 505 to 796 of the family's 1533-position model. The record is from RNAcentral.